CAAAAUUUCAAGUUUAAGCACAUAGAUUAACUUAUCUAAACACCAAAAUUUUAAAAAUGAAACAAAUACCCAAAUGCAAAAUUUUCAUUUAUCAAGCUUCAAUCACGUGGAUAAUCCAAUAAUAAAAUUUCAAAAAUUAAACAAAUCACCAAAUGCCAAAAUUUGAAGAAUCAACCACUGCCUUAACUUCAGUGCCUAUCCUUAACACUUCCAUGGGCCUCAAAGAUCAUAUCCUUGGGUCUACAAUCAACGUGCACCUUGAUUUGUUGCUUUAAUGCGGUGGAUGGACAAUCAAAAUUGCCUCAGUGCCUAUCCUUAACUUUUCCAUAGGCCUCAAUGAUCAGAUCGUUGGUGGACAAUCAAAAUUGCAUUAUGAUUUUAUAAAUGAUCAAUGAUAAAACAAUAAGAGAUGAGACAACAGUACCCACCCAAGCAUUAGAUUAGAUAACAUUACUUACCUAACAAUAAUAGAACCAGAACACUAGAUUAGACAACAAUACUCACCCCAACAGUAGCAUUAGAUUAAUUGCACUAUAAUUUACUACUUGCUAAGCAUUAGAUUCAAUAUAAUACUCACCCAAGUAUUGUUUUGAAUCUAAUGCUUGGGUGAGUAUUAUAUUGAAU
This 624-nucleotide unclassified non-coding RNA is filed under the name Hevea brasiliensis (rubber tree). Lineage: Eukaryota; Viridiplantae; Streptophyta; Magnoliopsida; Malpighiales; Euphorbiaceae. The record is from RNAcentral.